Molecule: ribosomal RNA, 253 nt
Filed under: uncultured bacterium
Lineage: Bacteria
Description: partial 16S ribosomal RNA
Rfam family: Bacterial small subunit ribosomal RNA
Source: RNAcentral
GACGUAGGGGGCCAGCGUUGUUCGGAAUUACUGGGCGUAAAGGGUUCGUAGGCGGUGCGGCAAGUUGGGUGUGAAAUCUCUGGGCUUAACCCAGAGGCUGCUUCCAAAACUGCUGUGCUUGAGUGUGGGAGAGGCGCGUGGAAUUGCAGGUGUAGCGGUGAAAUGCGUAGAUAUCUGCAGGAACACCCGUGGCGAAAGCGGCGCGCUGGACCACUACUGACGCUGAGGAACGAAAGCGAGGGGAGCAAACAGG